This 250-nucleotide ribosomal RNA is filed under the name uncultured bacterium. RNAcentral describes it as "partial 16S ribosomal RNA". It matches the Rfam family "Bacterial small subunit ribosomal RNA", at positions 524 to 773 of the family's 1533-position model. The record is from RNAcentral.
UACGGAGGAUCCAAGCGUUAUCCGGAUUUAUUGGGUUUAAAGGGAGCGUAGGUUGACAUAUAAGUCAGCUGUGAAAGUUUACGGCUCAACCGUGAAAUUGCAGUUGAUACUGUAUGUCUUGAGUGUACAAGAGGUGGGCGGAAUUCGUGGUGUAGCGGUGAAAUGCUUAGAUAUCACGAAGAACUCCAAUUGCGAAGGCAGCUCACUGGGGUACAACUGACACUGAAGCACGAAAGCGUGGGUAUCAAAC